This is a non-coding RNA of Biomphalaria pfeifferi, 606 nucleotides long. NCBI's taxonomy places the organism in Eukaryota, Metazoa, Mollusca, Gastropoda, Planorbidae. The record is from the annotation of a GenBank genome assembly.
UUUUAGAAAAAUUAUUUUAAUAGAAGACACUUUCUUCAAUACUUAAGUUAUACAUUACAGGAACAUAGUCAAACAAGACUUGAAACAGCAUGCCUUGAGGACUAGCAAAUGUCAACCACAAAGAAUAUAUGUGAUUUUUUUUUUAGGUGAAGAUUUUUCAAACUAAUGAUAAUGUAUGAAUAUGAAAUAAUGGAGAAUGAUUGAAGAGGCUAUGUUUAUGGAUUAAUGGAGAAUGAUUAAGAGGUUAUGUAUCAAUAAACAACAAACUGGUAGCAUUAAAAUUCAUAUAUUUUUCAAUUAAUAUAAAAUUGUACAAAUACAAUUAUGGUUUGCUAGUGCAUCAACCCUUCUGUCAUCCAACAGACUCUCACAAGUUAUAUGAAAUUAUAUGAAAUGCAGGAAAAAACUUUAAAAACAUGACAGUGAACUAAUGAUUAUACCAGGUAUUUCAGUUACAAUCUGGCAAUAUGGCAUUUGCCAAAUAGAGAGACAUAGCUUCAUACAAGACUUAAAAUCUGUCUACAACUACUUAAAGCAAAAGAUCAUUGGCCUAUACUAGGGUUGGACUGGGUAUCAAAAUUGGCCUGGGCAUUUCUAUACCGUUCG